This is a long non-coding RNA of Onychostruthus taczanowskii (white-rumped snowfinch), 276 nucleotides long. RefSeq lists it as uncharacterized. The record is from RefSeq and is a predicted model, not a curated record. Lineage: Eukaryota; Metazoa; Chordata; Aves; Passeriformes; Passeridae. The transcript is spliced from 4 exons.
CUGACCGGCCACACCUCCUACCUCUACGUUUCCUGCAGCCCGUGGCUCCUCAGAGCACAACAAACCCGAGAGGCUGAUGUGAGGAGCCGCGGAGCUGCGGGACUGGGAUUAGAGCAGACUCAUCGCAGCUCUCGCUCCUGUCCGGAUAACCAUGGGUACAAGUGUAGUCACUGUUGCAAUCAUCACUCUGCUCGUCACUGGAUGUACAGUUGUAGGAGCAGCAGCAAAGGAUCACACCUCUGAGGGUGAGUGGGGAGGGCAGGGGUGCUGGGCUGU